Molecule: ribosomal RNA, 445 nt
Filed under: uncultured bacterium
Lineage: Bacteria
Description: partial 16S ribosomal RNA
Rfam family: Bacterial small subunit ribosomal RNA
Source: RNAcentral
CCAGACUCCUACGGGAGGCAGCAGUGGGGAAUAUUGCACAAUGGGGGAAACCCUGAUGCAGCGACGCCGCGUGAGCGAUGAAGUAUUUCGGUAUGUAAAGCUCUAUCAGCAGGGAAGAAAAUGACGGUACCUGGCUAAGAAGCCCCGGCUGACUACGUGCCAGCAGCCGCGGUAAUACGUAGGGGGCAAGCGUUAUCCGGAUUUACUGGGUGUAAAGGGAGCGUAGACGGCGGUGCAAGCCAGAUGUGAAAGCCCGGGGCUCAACCCCGGGACUGCAUUUGGAACUGUGCUGCUAGAGUGUCGGAGAGGCAGGCGGAAUUCCUAGUGUAGCGGUGAAAUGCGUAGAUAUUAGGAGGAACACCGGUGGCGAAGGCGGCCUGCUGGACUGCGACUGACGUUGAGGCCCGAAAGCGUGGGGAGCAAACAGGAUAAGAUACCCGAGUAA